GUGGGGAAUCUUCCGCAAUGGACGAAAGUCUGACGGAGCAACGCCGCGUGAGUGAUGAAGGUCUUCGGAUUGUAAAGCUCUGUUAAUCGGGACGAAAGAGCCUAGUGUGAAUAAUGCUAGGAAGUGACGGUACCGGAAUAGAAAGCCACGGCUAACUACGUGCCAGCAGCCGCGGUAAUACGUAGGUGGCAAGCGUUGUCCGGAAUUAUUGGGCGUAAAGCGCGCGCAGGCGGAUCUGCCAGUCUGUCUUAAAAGUUCGGGGCUUAACCCCGUGAUGGGAUGGAAACUACAGAUCUAGAGUAUCGGAGAGGAAAGUGGAAUUCCUAGUGUAGCGGUGAAAUGCGUAGAUAUUAGGAAGAACACCAGUGGCGAAGGCGACUUUCUGGACGACAACUGACGCUGAGGCGCGAAAGCGUGGGGAGCAAACAGGAUUAGAUACCCGUGUAGUCC
Molecule: ribosomal RNA, 450 nt
Filed under: uncultured bacterium
Lineage: Bacteria
Description: partial 16S ribosomal RNA
Rfam family: Bacterial small subunit ribosomal RNA
Source: RNAcentral